CCUACGGGAGGCAGCAGUGGGGAAUAUUGGGCAAUGGGCGCAAGCCUGACCCAGCAACGCCGCGUGAAGGAAGAAGGCUUUCGGGUUGUAAACUUCUUUUGUCAGGGACGAAGCAAGUGACGGUACCUGACGAAUAAGCCACGGCUAACUACGUGCCAGCAGUCGCGUGAAUACGUAGGUGGCAAUCGUUAUCCGGAUUUACUGGGUGUAAAGGGCGUGUAGGCGGGACUGGAAGUCAGAUGUGAAAACCACGGGCUCAACCUGUGGCCUGCAUUUGAAACUGUAGUUCUUGAGUACUGGAGAGGCAGACGGAAUUCGUAGUGUAGCGGUGAAAUGCGUAGAUAUUAGGAGGAACACCAGUGGCGAAGGCGGUCUGCUGGACAGCAACUGACGCUGAGGCGCGAAAGCGUGGGGAGCAAACAGGAUUAGAUACCCUUGUAGUC
RNAcentral lists this ribosomal RNA (443 nucleotides) under uncultured bacterium. RNAcentral's name for it is "partial 16S ribosomal RNA". It matches the Rfam family "Bacterial small subunit ribosomal RNA", at positions 338 to 795 of the family's 1533-position model. The record is from RNAcentral.